Molecule: ribosomal RNA, 950 nt
Filed under: uncultured Pseudomonas sp.
Lineage: Bacteria; Pseudomonadati; Pseudomonadota; Gammaproteobacteria; Pseudomonadales; Pseudomonadaceae
Description: bacterial SSU rRNA
Rfam family: Bacterial small subunit ribosomal RNA
Source: RNAcentral
AGAGUUUGAUCCUGGCUCAGAUUGAACGCUGGCGGCAGGCCUAACACAUGCAAGUCGAGCGGUAGAGAGGUGCUUGCACCUCUUGAGAGCGGCGGACGGGUGAGUAAAGCCUAGGAAUCUGCCUGGUAGUGGGGGAUAACGCUCGGAAACGGACGCUAAUACCGCAUACGUCCUACGGGAGAAAGCAGGGGACCUUCGGGCCUUGCGCUAUCAGAUGAGCCUAGGUCGGAUUAGCUAGUUGGUGAGGUAAUGGCUCACCAAGGCGACGAUCCGUAACUGGUCUGAGAGGAUGAUCAGUCACACUGGAACUGAGACACGGUCCAGACUCCUACGGGAGGCAGCAGUGGGGAAUAUUGGACAAUGGGCGAAAGCCUGAUCCAGCCAUGCCGCGUGUGUGAAGAAGGUCUUCGGAUUGUAAAGCACUUUAAGUUGGGAGGAAGGGCAUUAACCUAAUACGUUAGUGUUUUGACGUUACCGACAGAAUAAGCACCGGCUAACUCUGUGCCAGCAGCCGCGGUAAUACAGAGGGUGCAAGCGUUAAUCGGAAUUACUGGGCGUAAAGCGCGCGUAGGUGGUUCGUUAAGUUGGAUGUGAAAUCCCCGGGCUCAACCUGGGAACUGCAUUCAAAACUGUCGAGCUAGAGUAUGGUAGAGGGUGGUGGAAUUUCCUGUGUAGCGGUGAAAUGCGUAGAUAUAGGAAGGAACACCAGUGGCGAAGGCGACCACCUGGACUGAUACUGACACUGAGGUGCGAAAGCGUGGGGAGCAAACAGGAUUAGAUACCCUGGUAGUCCACGCCGUAAACGAUGUCAACUAGCCGUUGGGAGCCUUGAGCUCUUAGUGGCGCAGCUAACGCAUUAAGUUGACCGCCUGGGGAGUACGGCCGCAAGGUUAAAACUCAAAUGAAUUGACGGGGGCCCGCACAAGCGGUGGAGCAUGUGGUUUAAUUCG